CGGGGUCCUUCACAAACUGUUUGUGUGAUCACACCAAACACUCAGCUGUAACUCUCCAAAACAAUCCAAGAAAGUAUGUGUCAAUGAAAAUGGAGACAGACAUACAUACAUCAUUGGAGGCUCCUCAAAGGGGGAAGGGGGAGGGUCAUCCCCCUCAGUGAAUUUCAUAAAUAUUAAAAAAUGGACAAUUUUAAGUUAUCCUUUUAAGAUGAAACUAUACUAAAUAUAAUCACAUCACCAAAUAAUUGAUUAAAACACAUCAUUUCUCAAUGAAGGUGUAAAGUAGCCUCAACAGCACUCUGUAGGGUAGCACAAGUGUGUAGCCAGAGGACCCGCUAGCUUCCGUCCUCCUCUCGGUACAUUGACUUCCAUACAAAACCUAGCAGGUUCAUGGUUGUCACCCCCUUCCAUAGUCUUACACAGUAAUUAUGAAC
Long non-coding RNA from Oncorhynchus tshawytscha (Chinook salmon), 434 nucleotides. Lineage: Eukaryota; Metazoa; Chordata; Actinopteri; Salmoniformes; Salmonidae. The record is from Ensembl.